CCUACGGGAGGCAGCAGUAAGGAAUAUUGGACAAUGGUCGCAAGACUGAUCCAGCCAUGCCGCGUGCAGGAUGACAGCCCUAUGGGUCGUAAACUGCUUUUGUGCGAGAAAAAAACCCCCUCUACGUGUAGAGGGCUGAUUGUAUCGUAAGAAUAAGGAUCGGCUAACUCCGUGCCAGCAGCCGCGGUAAUACGGAGGAUCCAAGCGUUAUCCGGAUUCAUUGGGUUUAAAGGGUGCGUAGGCGGAAUGAUAAGUCAGUGGUGAAAGCCUGCAGCUUAACUGCAGAACUGCCAUUGAUACUGUCAUUCUUGAGUACAUUUGAUGUGGGCGGAAUGUGUCAUGUAGCGGUGAAAUGCUUAGAUAUGACACAGAACACCGAUUAGCGAAGGCAGCUCACAAAACUGUAAACUGACGCUGAGGCACGAAAGCGUGGGUAUCAAACAGGAUUAGAUACCCUGGUAGUCCACGCUGUAAACUAUGAUUACUCGAAUGUUUAGCGAUACACUGUAAGCGUCCAAGCGAAAGCGUUAAGUAAUCCACCUGGGGAGUACGGCUCGCAAGAGUGAAACCGUUNAAAAGGAUUAGGAGGG
Molecule: ribosomal RNA, 590 nt
Filed under: uncultured bacterium
Lineage: Bacteria
Description: bacterial SSU rRNA
Rfam family: Bacterial small subunit ribosomal RNA
Source: RNAcentral